RNAcentral lists this transfer RNA (70 nucleotides) under Inhella proteolytica. RNAcentral's name for it is "Inhella sp. 1Y17 tRNA-Gln". It matches the Rfam family "tRNA". From Rfam's summary of the family: Transfer RNA (tRNA) molecules are approximately 80 nucleotides in length. Their secondary structure includes four short double-helical elements and three loops (D, anti-codon, and T loops). Lineage: Bacteria; Pseudomonadati; Pseudomonadota; Betaproteobacteria; Burkholderiales; Sphaerotilaceae. The record is from RNAcentral.
GGGGCGUCGCUCAAUCGGUAGAACAACGGCCUUUGAAGCCGUGUGUUGCGCGUUCGAGUCGCGCGCCCCU